RNAcentral lists this ribosomal RNA (1545 nucleotides) under human gut metagenome. RNAcentral describes it as "bacterial LSU rRNA". It matches the Rfam family "Bacterial large subunit ribosomal RNA", at positions 849 to 2409 of the family's 2925-position model. The record is from RNAcentral.
CUGGUUCUCCCCGAAAUAGCUUUAGGGCUAGCGUCGAGAGAAGAGUUGCGUGAAGGUAGAGCACUGAAUAUGUGAUGGCCCCAUCUCGGGGUACUGAGCAUAAUCAAACUGCGAAUGUCACGCCAACAUGCUCGGCAGUCAGACAGCGGGUGAUAAGGUCCGUUGUCAAGAGGGAAACAGCCCAGACCAUCAGCUAAGGUCCCAAAAUGUAUGCUAAGUGGAAAAGGAUGUGGAGAUGUACAGACAACUAGGAGGUUGGCUCAGAAGCAGCCAUCCUUUAAAGAGUGCGUAACAGCUCACUAGUCGAAUGACUCUGCGCCGAUAAUUUACCGGGGCUAAGCAUACUACCGAAGCUAUGGAUCCCAAGGGAUGGUAGGGGAGCGUUCCAUGAACGGAGAAGUACGACCGAAAGGACGUGUGGAGAUCAUGGAAGAGAGAAUGCCGGUGUGAGUAGCGGAACGUGGGUGAGAAUCCCACGCACCGAAAACCCAAGGUUUCCAGAGGAAGGUUCGUCCGCUCUGGGUAAGUCGGGACCUAAGGCGAGGCCGAAAGGCGUAGUCGAUGGACAACAGGUAGAGAUUCCUGUACCCGUAUAUAUGUGAAGGAAUGACGGAGAGAGGAAGCUGCAGCCAGCGGCUGGAAGAGCUGGUGCAAGCGAGAUAUCGGGAUGGCAGGCAAAUCCACCAUCCGAAACGAGAAGGCGUGAAGCGUACGGAAAGCUACGGCGAGUACGGAAGGCAGUGGAGGAACUUCCAAGAAAAGUUUCUAACGUUAAGUAUAUAUGGCCCGUACCGAAAAUGGACACACAUGGGUGAGGAGAGAAUCCUAAGGUGAGCGAGAGAACUAUAGCUAAGGAACUCUGCAAAAUGACUCCGUAACUUAGGGAGAAGGAGUGCUCAUAGAGAUAUGAGCCGCAGUGAAACGGCCCAAGCGACUGUUUACCAAAAACACAGCUCUCUGCUAAGCCGCAAGGCGAAGUAUAGGGGGUGACGCCUGCCCGGUGCUGGAAGGUUAAGGGGAGGGGUUAACGCAAGUGAAGCCCUGAACUGAAGCCCCAGUAAACGGCGGCCGUAACUAUAACGGUCCUAAGGUAGCGAAAUUCCUUGUCAGGUAAGUUCUGACCCGCACGAAAGGCGUAACGAUUUGGGCGCUGUCUCAGCUGUAGACUCGGUGAAGUCUUAGUACCUGUGAAGAUGCAGGUUACCCGCGACUAGACGGAAAGACCCCAUGGAGCUUCACUGCAGGUUGAUAUUGGGAUUUGAUGCAGCAUGUACAGGAUAGGUAGGAGGCAAAGAGAUGGAUACGCCAGUAUUCAAGGAGCCGCUGUUGGGAUACUACCCCUGUUGUAUUGGAUUUCUAACCGGACGACGUAGAACCGUUGACGGGACAGUGUCAGUCGGGCAGUUUGACUGGGGCGGUCGCCUCCCAAAGAGUAACGGAGGCGCCCAAAGAUACCCUCAGCUUGGAUGGAAACCAAGCGCAGAGUGCAAAGGCAAAAGGGUGUUUGACUGCGAGACCCACAAGUCGAGCAGGGACGAAAGUCGG